Molecule: transfer RNA, 73 nt
Filed under: Vicugna pacos (alpaca)
Lineage: Eukaryota; Metazoa; Chordata; Mammalia; Artiodactyla; Camelidae
Description: tRNA-Ala (AGC) (tRNA-Ala-AGC-263-1)
Rfam family: tRNA
About the family: Transfer RNA (tRNA) molecules are approximately 80 nucleotides in length. Their secondary structure includes four short double-helical elements and three loops (D, anti-codon, and T loops).
Source: RNAcentral
GGAGGGUAUAGCUCAGUGGUAGAGUGCCUGCUUAGCAUGCAGGAGGUCCUGGGUUCAAUCCCCAGUACCUCUA